AUGCACGCUGGCGGCGUGCCUCAUACAUGCCAGUCGCGCGAACAGACGAGGAGCUUGCUCCUCUGACGUUAGCGGCGGACGGGUGAGUAACACGUGGAUAACCUACCUAUAAGACUGGGAUAACUUCGGGAAACCGGAGCUAAUACCGGAUAAUAUAUUGAACCGCAUGGUUCAAUAGUGAAAGACGGUUUUGCUGUCACUUAUAGAUGGAUCCGCGCCGCAUUAGCUAGUUGGUAAGGUAACGGCUUACCAAGGCGACGAUGCGUAGCCGACCUGAGAGGGUGAUCGGCCACACUGGAACUGAGACACGGUCCAGACUCCUACGGGAGGCAGCAGUAGGGAAUCUUCCGCAAUGGGCGAAAGCCUGACGGAGCAACGCCGCGUGAGUGAUGAAGGUCUUCGGAUCGUAAAACUCUGUUAUUAGGGAAGAACAAAUGUGUAAGUAACUAUGCACGUCUUGACGGUACCUAAUCAGAAAGCCACGGCUAACUACGUG
This 496-nucleotide ribosomal RNA is filed under the name uncultured bacterium. Its description in RNAcentral is "partial 16S ribosomal RNA". It matches the Rfam family "Bacterial small subunit ribosomal RNA", at positions 29 to 507 of the family's 1533-position model. The record is from RNAcentral.